GAUGAACGCUGGCGGCGUGCCUAAUACAUGCAAGUCGAGCGAACGGACGAGAAGCUUGCUUCUCUGAUGUUAGCGGCGGACGGGUGAGUAACACGUGGAUAACCUACCUAUAAGACUGGGAUAACUUCGGGAAACCGGAGCUAAUACCGGAUGAUAUUUUGAACCGCAUGGUUCAAAAGUGAAAGACGGUCUUGCUGUCUCUUAUAGAUGGAUCCGCGCUGCAUUAGCUAGUUGGUAAGGUAACGGCUUACCAAGGCAACGAUGCAUAGCCGACCUGAGAGGGUGAUCGGCAACACUGGAAAUGAGACACGGUCCAGACUCCUACGGGAGGCAGCAGUAGGGAAUCUUCCGCAAUGGGCGAAAGCAUGACGGAGCAACGCCGCGUGAGUGAUGAAGGUCUUCGGAUCGUAAAACUCUGUUAUUAGGGAAGAACAUAUGUGUAAGUAACUGUGCACAUCUUGACGGUACCUAAUCAGAAAGCCACGGCUAACUACGUG
Molecule: ribosomal RNA, 497 nt
Filed under: uncultured bacterium
Lineage: Bacteria
Description: partial 16S ribosomal RNA
Rfam family: Bacterial small subunit ribosomal RNA
Source: RNAcentral